This 574-nucleotide ribosomal RNA is filed under the name Lactococcus sp. RNAcentral describes it as "bacterial SSU rRNA". It matches the Rfam family "Bacterial small subunit ribosomal RNA", at positions 76 to 635 of the family's 1533-position model. Lineage: Bacteria; Bacillati; Bacillota; Bacilli; Lactobacillales; Streptococcaceae. The record is from RNAcentral.
UAGCUUGCUAUUUUUAUGAAGAGCGGCGAACGGGUGAGUAACGCGUGGGAAAUCUGCCGAGUAGCGGGGGACAACGUUUGGAAACGAACGCUAAUACCGCAUAACAAUGAGAAUCGCAUGAUUCUUAUUUAAAAGAAGCAAUUGCUUCACUACUUGAUGAUCCCGCGUUGUAUUAGCUAGUUGGUAGUGUAAAGGACUACCAAGGCGAUGAUACAUAGCCGACCUGAGAGGGUGAUCGGCCACACUGGGACUGAGACACGGCCCAGACUCCUACGGGAGGCAGCAGUAGGGAAUCUUCGGCAAUGGGGGCAACCCUGACCGAGCAACGCCGCGUGAGUGAAGAAGGUUUUCGGAUCGUAAAACUCUGUUGUUAGAGAAGAACGUUAAGUAGAGUGGAAAAUUACUUAAGUGACGGUAUCUAACCAGAAAGGGACGGCUAACUACGUGCCAGCAGCCGCGGUAAUACGUAGGUCCCAAGCGUUGUCCGGAUUUAUUGGGCGUAAAGCGAGCGCAGGUGGUUUCUUAAGUCUGAUGUAAAAGGCAGUGGCUCAACCAUUGUGUGCAUUGGAAACUG